Molecule: ribosomal RNA, 497 nt
Filed under: uncultured bacterium
Lineage: Bacteria
Description: partial 16S ribosomal RNA
Rfam family: Bacterial small subunit ribosomal RNA
Source: RNAcentral
GAUGAACGCUGGCGGCGUGCCUAAUACAUGCAAGUCGAGCGAACAGACGAGGAGCUUGCUUCUCUGACGUUAGCGGCGGACGGGUGAGUAACACGUGGAUAACCUACCUAUAAGACUGGGAUAACUUCGGGAAACCGGAGCUAAUACCGGAUAAUAUAUUGAACCGCAUGGUUCAAUAGUGAAAGACGGUUUUGCUGUCACUUAUAGAUGGAUCCGCACCGCAUUAGCUAGUUGGUAAGGUAACGGCUUACCAAGGCAACGAUGCGUAGCCGACCUGAGAGGGUGAUCGGCCACACUGGAACUGAGACACGGUCCAGACUCCUACGGGAGGCAGCAGUAGGGAAUCUUCCGCAAUGGGCGAAAGCCUGACGGAGCAACGCCGCGUGAGUGAUGAAGGUCUUCGGAUCGUAAAACUCUGUUAUUAGGGAAGAACAAAUGUGUAAGUAACUAUGCACGUCUUGACGGUACCUAAUCAGAAAGCCACGGCUAACUACGUG